Molecule: ribosomal RNA, 260 nt
Filed under: uncultured bacterium
Lineage: Bacteria
Description: partial 16S ribosomal RNA
Rfam family: Bacterial small subunit ribosomal RNA
Source: RNAcentral
ACGUCCUACGGGAGGCAGCAGGUGGGAAUAUUGGACAAUGGGGGAACCGUAGCAUCAGCCAUGCCGCGCUGUGUGAAGAAGGCCUUAUGGUUGUAAAGCACUUUAAGCGAGGAGGAGGCAUACUGAGACUAAAUACUCUUGGAUAUGUGGACGUUACUCGCAGAAUAAGCACCGGCUAACUCUGUGCCAGCAGCCGCGGUAAUACAGAGGGUGCGAGCGUUAAUCGGAUUUACUGGGCGUAAAGCGUGCGUAGGCGGCCA